RNAcentral lists this transfer RNA (74 nucleotides) under Candidatus Taylorbacteria bacterium RIFCSPHIGHO2_01_FULL_46_22b. Its description in RNAcentral is "tRNA-Gly". It matches the Rfam family "tRNA". From Rfam's summary of the family: Transfer RNA (tRNA) molecules are approximately 80 nucleotides in length. Their secondary structure includes four short double-helical elements and three loops (D, anti-codon, and T loops). Further hydrogen bonds mediate the characteristic L-shaped molecular structure. tRNAs have two regions of fundamental functional importance: the anti-codon, which is responsible for specific mRNA codon recognition, and the 3' end, to which the tRNAs corresponding amino acid is attached (by aminoacyl-tRNA synthetases). tRNAs cope with the degeneracy of the genetic code in two manners: having more than one tRNA (with a specific anti-codon) for a particular amino acid; and 'wobble' base-pairing, i.e. permitting non-standard base-pairing at the 3rd anti-codon position. Lineage: Bacteria; Candidatus Tayloriibacteriota. The record is from RNAcentral.
GCGGGUAUGGUUUAGUGGUAGAAUGCGACCUUCCCAAGGUUGAGACGCGGGUUCGAUUCCCGCUACCCGCACCA